Molecule: small RNA, 1526 nt
Filed under: Rattus norvegicus (Norway rat)
Lineage: Eukaryota; Metazoa; Chordata; Mammalia; Rodentia; Muridae
Description: uncharacterized LOC102555284
Source: RNAcentral
CGUACAGCUGGGCCUCACUGGCCUUGAGGAAAGCCAUGAACCUCGCGGUGAAGGAGGCCACGAAGACGGACAACAUGCCGAAAUCCAGUCUGUUUAAAGGACUUCUCACUGCCCUUGCUCGUUUCUCUCUAAACAAAGCACCUGUCUCGUGCAUACUCUGUCAGACUUCGGACAGUCAUUCAGUGCACCGAGUCCUGGAGGUAAAUGUCACCUGGGAGCCUCAGUAUCAGCCUGACUGUCAACCACAGGGACUUCUCUAAGGUCCUAGGGUUCACCUACACAGUAAGGAGAUGUGGCUAUGCAUGCUGUACUGAGCUGAAAAGAGACUCAGCUGGAGAAGAAUUUUAUGAACUCAGUGCUCGUGUGGGGAGAAUCCUUUUAUACAGAUAUCCAUCAAAGACCCUACUUUAAUAAUGUCUUAUGUGACUGGGAGAGAUUUUCCUCUUCUUCAUCAGCAUCACAAAGGUCUGUUCUGGAAACAGAGAAGACAGACAGGGCAACAGCCAGCAGGUUCUGUUCUCCGUGUGGAGCCAACGUGACUUAGAAUUGCUCUGCAGUGCCGCCUCCUAUUGGACCACGUACAGCACUGGGCUCCUUGGCAGCAAUGUUCUUCCCUUCCUGUCUGGAAAGUUUUUUGGUCACACUCUUGAGUCAUGGAAGUGAAAGAGUUGGAAAGGCCUACUGUUCACUGCUUCUGCUUGUUUGCUUGCUAAUUCAGUCAACAAACCUUUUUCCAGAGACUCCUCUCACUGGGCAUUGUACUCAACACUGGAAACAAAGAAAGAGUCCUGGGCUUGAAGUAGGACUGCACAGACAUCAACAGUGUGGCCAGCCAGUAGAGUGUGGUUCAGCGGUGGGUGGCAGUGGGAUAUUCACCAGUUCCUGAGCGGGCUGCCGGUGACGCUGGAAAGGGUGAGUUAUUUCAGACCGUGGAUCAUCAUGGGUGCUCCUAAUGCCAUUUCUCACCCCCUCCUCUCUCUCUGCCUCUGUCUUUCUCCGACCUAGUUAGUUAGUACCUUACGCUUCACAUGCCCUGGAAUCCCACUAGAAUCUAGUUGCUUCCCCCCAUCCACACGUUCCCUUACAGAAUGCUGUCUGCACCAGUGCUGUCUGCAUCAGUGCUGUGGUUGACUUCAGAUUCCAGGGAGGACCACCCUGACUCAAAGUCUGUAGAUGUGCAAUCCUGAGCAACUUGCUCUGGGCUUCGUGAUCUGAGUGGUGAAAAUGCCCCAGAGUGCUCAGCAUGACCUAUAGCUCAGGGUCGAAGGUGGGCAUGGCUUUAAUGCUGUUCCUGAGCUCACUGCGGCAUCUCUGUGGUCCUCCUCAGCACUAUUUAGAUAGUUCUUCUACCUCUUCGCUUUUAGCUUCUGCCAGGGAGGAUGCUUGCUGAGUAAGUUUGGCACAGAGCAUGGGCAUCGGGCAACAUGAAAUCUGAACGGCACCAGACUCUCUCUUGAGGCUCUACUGUAGACAGCAUGUUACACACAGUUCUCACAGAAACCCUCCAAACUGGAGACAUGUAAAUG